This is a long non-coding RNA of Passer domesticus (house sparrow), 664 nucleotides long. RefSeq lists it as uncharacterized. The transcript is spliced from 3 exons. NCBI's taxonomy places the organism in Eukaryota, Metazoa, Chordata, Aves, Passeriformes, Passeridae. The record is from RefSeq and is a predicted model, not a curated record.
UCCUUACGCAGCAUGAUUCAUCUUGGCUUUGUGCCGAGGUCACUUUCUGCUGGGUUUUGCUAAAAAUAUGGCUUCUUGAGGAAGAGGAGGGGGAGGAAGCCCUGCUUUGGAGCUGGGGUUUGGUCCUCACCUGGUUGACCUGACCCAUUGCUCUUCCCCUACCUUCUCUGCCUUUAUGGCCUGGAAAAACAGGAACUGGCUUUGCAAGGCAUUCCCAGCUCAGAGGGGCGGGGGCCUGGCAAGCCCCAGGAUUUCCAGAGCUCCCCCCCUGACCAUUAAAGUCAGACACUGAGGCAGCCCCAGGUGAGAGAGGACUCGAGCCUGGGCUGUCCCUCUGGGGCCUUGGGCUGAGCUCAGACAGAAGCCUGAAAUAUUCGGAGCAUUACCAAGGGUGACUCUUCCCAUUCCUGACUGAGGAAGCAAGAGAGCCAAAUGGGGGACUCCUAGCUGCACUGAUGGGAAAUGCAAGGUUGGAUUUUCAGUCCUGCAGCCCCGAGGAGGUGGGAACAAACAAGACCCAAAGAACCUGAAACAGAGCAGAUGGUGGAUAGAUAGGUCUGUGUCAUUGAGGCGGCUUGAGGAAGCUCCUGACCACAGACAACACCCUCCACAAAUCUGCUCAGAAGAAAGGAAAGGAACCCAUGCCCUAGCCAGCCAUGCAAAG